RNAcentral lists this ribosomal RNA (389 nucleotides) under uncultured archaeon. RNAcentral's name for it is "bacterial SSU rRNA". It matches the Rfam family "Archaeal small subunit ribosomal RNA", at positions 1 to 395 of the family's 1478-position model. The record is from RNAcentral.
UUCCGGUUGAUCCUGCCGGACCCGACUGCUAUCAGAAUAGGACUAAGCCAUGCGAGUCAACGUAGCAAUACGUGGCAUACGGUUCAGUAACACGUAGUCAACACGCCCAGGGGACGUGGAUAACCUCGGGAAACUGAGGAUAAACCGCGAUAGGUCAUAAUGUCUGGAAUGAUUUAUGGCUAAAAUCUAUAUGGCCUCUGGAUUGGACUGCGGCCGAUCAGGCUGUUGGUGAGGUAAUGGCCCACCAAACCUAAAACCGGUACGGGCUCUGAGAGGAGAAGCCCGGAGAUGGGCACUGAGACAAGGGCCCAGGCCCUAUGGGGCGCAGCAGGCGCGAAAAACUCUGCAAUAGGCGAAAGCUUGACAGGGNUAUUCUGAGUGAUUUCCGC